This is a long non-coding RNA of Cygnus olor (mute swan), 526 nucleotides long. RefSeq lists it as uncharacterized. NCBI's taxonomy places the organism in Eukaryota, Metazoa, Chordata, Aves, Anseriformes, Anatidae. The transcript has 2 exons. The record is from RefSeq and is a predicted model, not a curated record.
GCCCAGGCCCCGCUUCCCUGUCUGGGCCCUGGCCUGGCAGCAAGGCGCAGCCCUGUGGGCCCUGAAGCCCCUGAUUGUACCCCCAGGAGCCCUGUGCCUCCCUCAGCGCCCUGCCCAUGCAGGUGGGCCUGGUGUGUGCCUUGCUCAGGUUCCUCCUUGGGCACCGUGCUUGCAGGGGUGCUGGGGGCUGGGGGGGAGGGCACAGCCCUGUCUAUACCAGGGGCUGUGAUGGAUCUGAUUGGUGCUCUUUUCCUAGCGUUUGCUGCAUUGCAUUCCGGGGACCUAGACAAAGAGAAGCUGCGGAUGAUCAUCACCUACCUCCAAAUGCAUUUGGAAUAUGACACCCAUCCAUCGAUCCGUCACCUGGCAGCUGGGACCAUAGAGAUCCUGCAACGUCAAGUACAGCAGCAACCCGCAUCAAGAUGGGCUAGGUUGGCAGCACUGCGCUGCUGGCCCUGAACAGCCAGGGAGCCACAGAGCUUCCCUGGGGAAGAUCUCUCUGAAUAAAACUGGAACUACAAGACCA